This 229-nucleotide ribosomal RNA is filed under the name uncultured bacterium. RNAcentral's name for it is "partial 16S ribosomal RNA". It matches the Rfam family "Bacterial small subunit ribosomal RNA", at positions 568 to 796 of the family's 1533-position model. The record is from RNAcentral.
UGCGUAGGCGGAACUUUAAGUCAGUGGUGAAAUCCUGCAGCUUAACUGUAGAACUGUUAUUGAUACUGGUUUUCUUGAAUAUAGUUGAGGUAGGCGGAAUGUGUAAUGUAGCGGUGAAAUGCUUAGAUAUUACACAGAACACCGAUUGCGAAGGCAGCUUACUAAGCUAUGAUUGACGCUGAGGUACGAAAGCGUGGGGAGCGAACAGGAUUAGAUACCCUGGUAGUCC